This 1372-nucleotide ribosomal RNA is filed under the name uncultured bacterium. Its description in RNAcentral is "bacterial SSU rRNA". It matches the Rfam family "Bacterial small subunit ribosomal RNA", at positions 28 to 1381 of the family's 1533-position model. The record is from RNAcentral.
GAUGAACGCUGGCGGCGUGCCUAAUACAUGCAAGUCGAGCGAACGGACGAGAAGCUUGCUUCUCUGAUGUUAGCGGCGGACGGGUGAGUAACACGUGGAUAACCUACCUAUAAGACUGGGAUAACUUCGGGAAACCGGAGCUAAUACCGGAUAAUAUUUUGAACCGCAUGGUUCAAAAGUGAAAGACGGUCUUGCUGUCACUUAUAGAUGGAUCCGCGCUGCAUUAGCUAGUUGGUAAGGUAACGGCUUACCAAGGCAACGAUGCAUAGCCGACCUGAGAGGGUGAUCGGCCACACUGGAACUGAGACACGGUCCAGACUCCUACGGGAGGCAGCAGUAGGGAAUCUUCCGCAAUGGGCGAAAGCCUGACGGAGCAACGCCGCGUGAGUGAUGAAGGUCUUCGGAUCGUAAAACUCUGUUAUUAGGGAAGAACAUAUGUGUAAGUAACUGUGCACAUCUUGACGGUACCUAAUCAGAAAGCCACGGCUAACUACGUGCCAGCAGCCGCGGUAAUACGUAGGUGGCAAGCGUUAUCCGGAAUCAUUGGGCGUAAAGCGCGCGUAGGCGGUUUUUUAAGUCUGAUGUGAAAGCCCACGGCUCAACCGUGGAGGGUCAUUGGAAACUGGAAAACUUGAGUGCAGAAGAGGAAAGUGGAAUUCCAUGUGUAGCGGUGAAAUGCGCGGAGAUAUGGAGGAACACCAGUGGCGAAGGCGACUUUCUGGUCUGUAACUGACGCUGAUGUGCGAAAGCGUGGGGAUCAAACAGGAUUAGAUACCCUGGUAGUCCACGCCGUAAACGAUGAGUGCUAAGUGUUAGGGGGUUUCCGCCCCUUAGUGCUGCAGCUAACGCAUUAAGCACUCCGCCUGGGGAGUACGACCGCAAGGUUGAAACUCAAAGGAAUUGACGGGGACCCGCACAAGCGGUGGAGCAUGUGGUUUAAUUCGAAGCAACGCGAAGAACCUUACCAAAUCUUGACAUCCUUUGACAACUCUAGAGAUAGAGCCUUCCCCUUCGGGGGACAAAGUGACAGGUGGUGCAUGGUUGUCGUCAGCUCGUGUCGUGAGAUGUUGGGUUAAGUCCCGCAACGAGCGCAACCCUUAAGCUUAGUUGCCAUCAUUAAGUUGGGCACUCUAAGUUGACUGCCGGUGACAAACCGGAGGAAGGUGGGGAUGACGUCAAAUCAUCAUGCCCCUUAUGAUUUGGGCUACACACGUGCUACAAUGGACAAUACAAAGGGCAGCGAAACCGCGAGGUCAAGCAAAUCCCAUAAAGUUGUUCUCAGUUCGAAUUGUAGUCUGCAACUCGACUACAUGAAGCUGGAAUCGCUAGUAAUCGUAGACCAGCAUGCUACGGUGAAUACGUUCCCGGGUCU